Molecule: ribosomal RNA, 119 nt
Filed under: Echinostoma caproni
Lineage: Eukaryota; Metazoa; Platyhelminthes; Trematoda; Plagiorchiida; Echinostomatidae
Source: RNAcentral
GGCAGCGACUAUACCACGUUGGAGACACCGAUUCUCGUCUGAUCACCAAGGUUAAGCAACGUCGGGCCCGGUUAGUACUGGCAUGUGUGACCGGCUGGGAAUAGCGCGUGUUGCGGCAG